Molecule: long non-coding RNA, 856 nt
Organism: Panicum virgatum (switchgrass)
Lineage: Eukaryota; Viridiplantae; Streptophyta; Magnoliopsida; Poales; Poaceae
Exons: 2
Source: RefSeq, a predicted model, not a curated record
UAUAGGCAGAAUCUCAAGAUUAAGUAACUUUGAUGCUUCUCUGAAGUUGCUCGCUACUUGAUUUGCUCCAUUGUACAUGAGGCUGAACAGAACAUUCAGGCUUUGGCACAUCUUGAAAACGGGCUUGCCAUUUAGCCCGGUUUGCCUGUACUAUAUGGAACUGAAGCUGAUUAAUUAUGCACACAUCCAUCCAUGGGAGGAUUAGGAGAAGGGAUAUUUCUUCUUCUUCUUCAGGCAGACACUGAUGGUAAAACUCUAAGGCAGACGCAGCCUGAUGAGCCGUGUACAUCAGCAUCCUUCAAGUGCAGGCGUUCGUAUUCCGAGAUAUUUGGAGGAGGUUCUGAGAUGAUGUUGCCUAGCGUGGUGUUGUGCGGUGCGGUGCCUGGCGUGCUGCUGGACACAGGCAGCAAGGAGGUGAAUCAUUCGGACAAGGAAGGAAGACGACAGACAAAGAGGAGGGAAUGGGGGAAGGUUAGAUUUCCUCUAAUUCCAUCUUAACCCUUUGCAAAUUCGUCAGGUCCUGCGAGAUACCAACCUCCAAUCACAACAUCAAGACCAAGAAUUUCAGAUAGCGAUUCAAUGAACCUUAAGAUAGAUUUUAGUUAUGUUAGAUGAAUUAAGCCAAUUUCUUCGAUGAAUUUCUGAGAUUAAUUGGUGAGGGAUCUAAGCCUGGUCGGCGAAACUUGUAGGUUUCAUUCCAAUCUGAUUACAAUGGCGCUGGUUUCAUUCCAAUCCGAUUAGCGGUUUAGAAGAUAUCCUCAAAAAAGUGUGGUUGUUAUGAUAGGAAACAUGUGCGCAAGAACCUUUCGUGUAUUUUCUACUAAGUUAUAGCCAGAUUUCGACCCGACUGCUUAAA